AAUUUAACGGCCGCGGUACCCUGACCGUGCAAAGGUAGCAUAAUCAUUUGCCCUAUAAUUGAGGGCUAGUAUGAAUGGUUUGACAAGAGCAAUACUGUCUCCAUAAAAAUUAAUAGAAAUUAUUUUUUAGGUGAAGAAACCUAAAUCAAAUUAAUAGACAAGAAGACCCUAUCGAGCUUUAAAUCCAUUUAAUAAAAUAAAGAAAAUAAAAUAUAUUUCUAAUUAUAAAAAAUUUUGGUUGGGGCGACUAAGGAACACAAAAAGCUUCUUUAUAUAUUUAAAAUUUUUAAAUAGUGAUCCAUUAUUUAGUGAUUAAAAGAAUUAGUUACCGUAGGGAUAACAGCAUAAUCCUUUUUGAGAGUUCAUAUCGAAAAAAGGGUUUGUGACCUCGAUGUUGGACUAGAAUUUCCUGAAAGAUGCAGAAUCUCA
Molecule: ribosomal RNA, 429 nt
Filed under: Mammilla simiae
Lineage: Eukaryota; Metazoa; Mollusca; Gastropoda; Littorinimorpha; Naticidae
Description: partial 16S ribosomal RNA
Rfam family: Bacterial large subunit ribosomal RNA
Source: RNAcentral